This 271-nucleotide ribosomal RNA is filed under the name uncultured prokaryote. RNAcentral's name for it is "partial 16S ribosomal RNA". It matches the Rfam family "Bacterial small subunit ribosomal RNA", at positions 524 to 794 of the family's 1533-position model. The record is from RNAcentral.
UACGGAGGAUCCGAGCGUUAUCCGGAUUUAUUGGGUUUAAAGGGUGCGCAGGCGGGAGAUUAAGUCGGCGGUGAAAUUUUGCAGCUCAACUGUAAAAGUGCCUUCGAAACUGGUUUCCUUGAGUGUAGAUGAAGUAGGCGGAAUUUGUGGUGUAGCGGUGAAAUGCAUAGAUAUCACGAGGAACUCCGAUUGCACAGGCAGCUUACUAAACUACUACUGACGCUCAGGCACGAAGGCGUGGGGAUCAAACAGGAUUAGAUACCCGGGUAGU